This is a long non-coding RNA of Spinacia oleracea (spinach), 2192 nucleotides long. RefSeq lists it as uncharacterized. The transcript has 2 exons. NCBI's taxonomy places the organism in Eukaryota, Viridiplantae, Streptophyta, Magnoliopsida, Caryophyllales, Amaranthaceae. The record is from RefSeq and is a predicted model, not a curated record.
CUCAACUACUAAACAACGCCGCCCUUCCCAAAGCAAAAAAGAAAGAUAUAAUACAUCAUUGAUCUCUCCUUGUCUGAUCAUUACUGGGCCAAUCUUAAUAUCCACUUUUCAUUACAUUUAUUCAAUUUUAUAGAAUAGUGCACUCAACCCUCUUUCCCAGUGCUAGCAGCAUUUCUGAAUUUCAAUAUUUGUUACAGGGGACUGAGGGGAGUGUAUAGUAUGUUUCUUUUAGAGUGAAAAAAUCAUUUCCCCAUUCUCACCUCAGUCAAUACAAUUGUCAAUACGGGAUUGUGGUGUAUGACGCUAACUGAGGCCUUAUUUACCCUGCCUGGCUCUUCUACUGUGUGUGUAUGUGUGUGCGUGUCUUAUGUCAGCACAGGGGAAAAAACAAAUUUUAGUUACAGAGCACUCCGUCGUUUAGCUAAGGCGACAUGGGCACUUUCACACACCUCAUGCAGUUGUGUCCAUGCUCUGGAAGCAUUUCAUGCAAAAGUGAUCCAACAAGAACUAACAGCAUCCUUACCAAAUUGGAUGGGGUAAUAAGCUCUAUUAGCCAAUGACUUUCUCUUGCAGGUUAAACAUACCAGAAUCAUGCCAUGUAGCUAAGACAGGUCUUCACCUAAUGCUACAAACCCUACGGCAUAAUUACAAAUCUAGAGGUGAAACAUAAACAUUUCAGCAUAAGGAAAAUUGAUCUUUUAAAUCUUUUAAACACCAAAGACAGGCCCUCGUACCAAUAGAAUAACAGAGAAAUGGGAAAAAGUACCUUUUGGAUUGAGACGAAGUGCGAGCUCACAUGAUCCAACAGGAGGCUGAACCUUUUCUCUUAGAAAAGUAUUCAGAUUGGGCUUGUACAGCCAUGCAUUCCCAGAACGCAAAAUAAGUUCCUUACAUGUGAAGAUAUUUGGUAUUGUAAAGCUGUAACACCCCGUAUUUUGUUAUUCUGUAAUUACUAUUGUUAACGUAAUUACGUCCUAAAUUUCUCCAAGUUAUUUUAAUUAUCUUAUUAUGUCUACCUUUUUAUUGUGACAUAAUACCAAUUAUGUGAGCCCCAAUUAAUUUUCAUACAUGAGUUUUCUCUUUCCAGCCAAUUUCAUUACCCAAAAUCUGAUUUAUUCAUUUUGCCAUUUUAUCAAUUGAAAACUCAAAGAUCCAUUUUGCUUCUUUUUCCUCCUCCGUACGUGUAAAUGGAGGGCUUGGCCACCAAGAUGUUGAAUUUCUUUUGUCUCCAAAUUUUGUCCAAAUGUACAGCAAAGCCAAUUCACCUUUCUUCUUCCUUGUGUGGCAAGAAGUUUGAUUUCCAAAUGUCCAUAGUUUUCUCCUCCUCCAUGACUCACCUUGUACCUAAACCACUAUAAAUAGACUUCUAAACUCCAUUUUUAUACAAGCUUAAAACUCAAUUAAUAUCUCUGGUGAUAUUUCUAAGUUUAAUUUGCUUCCCCUCUAUUUUUCCUUGUUUAAUUCAAAGAAAACCAUUAAAGAUUACCCAUUUUCUCUCUCCUCCUUCACAACCACCGCGGCACCGCCGCUACCGCCACCGCCGCCACUACUUUAUGCCGGCGACUCAAUUCUUCGACUCAGACCACCGCCCUGAACCCGAAGCCACCUCCUGUCGUCGCCGGAAAUCCACGGCCCUAUUGUUGCGUGAGCCAUGCUUCCUUGUUCUUUCAUUUAUUUCACUGCUACUGCCUAUUUCUUAAUUGAUCUUUCCAAAUAAAUCCAAAAAGGGAUUGUUACUUGUUAGUGGGUCUUGAGUUGUGAGAAACAAAGUUGGCAUUUUCUUGGUCAAAAGUAACGAAAUAUGGGAGUAAGUUUUAUGAAUUCAAGUGGUUCAUUUAAUUAUGGAAUCUUAUUUUCUUAAGCAAAUGAUUAAUUGUAAUUGUUGUCUUAUAUUGAGGUUGUCACUAAUAAAGAAUUAUUCGGAGGAUUAAUAAGAGAUGCCGAGUUAAGAUAAUUAAUGAUAAGAGAUUGAGGUUCGUUUAAGGACUCAAGUUGCUCAAGAAAGAGUUAUUACUGGAGUUGGUAUUUUAUUAUGGAGAUACGAUAUCGAGCUGAGAGAUAUUUAUUAUGGAAAUUCGGUUAUUGUGGUUGUUAUAAGAAUAUUGAUUUAUAUUUAUUUUUGAGAAUAUUGUAUUAUUUAUGGAAUGUUAUUAAGGAUUAUUUUAUUUGUGGGCCCAUACCCACAGGUCCUA